RNAcentral lists this ribosomal RNA (446 nucleotides) under uncultured bacterium. RNAcentral describes it as "partial 16S ribosomal RNA". It matches the Rfam family "Bacterial small subunit ribosomal RNA", at positions 338 to 795 of the family's 1533-position model. The record is from RNAcentral.
CCUACGGGUGGCAGCAGUCGAGAAUCAUUCACAAUGGGGGAAACCCUGAUGGUGCGACGCCGCGUGGGGGAAUGAAGGUCUUCGGAUUGUAAACCCCUGUCAUGUGGGAGCAAAUUAAAAAGAUAGUACCACAAGAGGAAGAGACGGCUAACUCUGUGCCAGCAGCCGCGGUAAUACAGAGGUCGCAAGCGUUGUUCGGAAUCACUGGGCGUAAAGCGUGCGUAGGCUGUUUCGUAAGUCGUGUGUGAAAGGCGCGGGCUCAACCCGCGGACGGCACAUGAUACUGGGAGACUAGAGUAAGGGAGGGGGAAGCGGAAUUCUCGGUGUAGCAGUGAAAUGCGUAGAUAUCGAGAGGAACACUCGUGGCGAAGGCGGGUUCCUGGACAUUAACUGACGCUGAGGCACGAAGGCCAGGGGAGCGAAAGGGAUUAGAUACCCUUGUAGUC